This 545-nucleotide ribosomal RNA is filed under the name Dunckerocampus baldwini. RNAcentral describes it as "partial 16S ribosomal RNA". It matches the Rfam family "Bacterial large subunit ribosomal RNA", at positions 1852 to 2597 of the family's 2925-position model. The record is from RNAcentral. Lineage: Eukaryota; Metazoa; Chordata; Actinopteri; Syngnathiformes; Syngnathidae.
GUCCCGCCUGCCCUGUGACUAUAAGUUUAACGGCCGCGGUAUUUUGACCGUGCAAAGGUAGCGCAAUCACUUGUCUUUUAAAUGAAGACCCGUAUGAAUGGCACGACGAGGGCUUAACUGUCUCCUUCCCCCAGUCAAUGAAAUUGAUCUGCUCGUGCAGAAGCGAGCAUAAAGACAUAAGACGAGAAGACCCUAUGGAGCUUUCAGACGUACAAAUGGACCGAGUUAAACAACCCAAGUCAAAAGAAUAAACCAAACGAAACCCACUUGAAUGUCUUUGGUUGGGGCGACCGCGGGGAAACACACAACCCCCACGAAGUGAAGGUACAAACCUUUAUAACCAAGAACAACAGUUCAAAGAAUCAAAACAUUUGACCAUAAGAUCCGGCAAAGCCGAUCAACGAACCAAGUUACCCUAGGGAUAACAGCGCAAUCCCCUUUUAGAGUCCCUAUCAACAAGGGGGUUUACGACCUCGAUGUUGGAUCAGGACAUCCUAAUGGUGCAGCUGCUAUUAAGGGUUCGUUUGUUCAACGAUUAAAGUCCU